RNAcentral lists this small nucleolar RNA (79 nucleotides) under Mesocricetus auratus (golden hamster). RNAcentral describes it as "Small nucleolar RNA SNORD115". It matches the Rfam family "Small nucleolar RNA SNORD115". Rfam says of the family: HBII-52 is a member of the C/D class of snoRNAs, which contain the C (UGAUGA) and D (CUGA) box motifs. HBII-52 is encoded in a tandemly repeated array with another C/D snoRNA, HBII-85, in the Prader-Willi syndrome (PWS) region of chromosome 15. Lineage: Eukaryota; Metazoa; Chordata; Mammalia; Rodentia; Cricetidae. The record is from Rfam by way of RNAcentral.
GGAUCUAUGAUGACAAACCUAUAUCAUGAAGAGAGGUGAUGACAUAAAUAUCAUGCUCUGGUUCCGGCAGCUGAGGCCC